GAUGAACGCUGGCGGCGUGCCUAAUACAUGCAAGUCGAGCGAACGGACGAGUAGCUUGCUUCUCUGAUGUUAGCGGCGGACGGGUGAGUAACACGUGGAUAACCUACCUAUAAGACUGGGAUAACUUCGGGAAACCGUAGCUAAUACCGGAUAAUAUUUUGAACCGCAUGGUUCAAAAGUGAAAGACGGUUUUGCUGUCACUUAUAGAUGGAUCCGCGCUGCAUUAGCUAGUUGGUAAGGUAACGGCUUACCAAGGCAACGAUGCAUAGCCGACCUGAGAGGGUGAUCGGCCACACUGGAACUGAGACACGGUCCAGACUCCUACGGGAGGCAGCAGUAGGGAAUCUUCCGCAAUGGGCGAAAGCCUGACGGAGCAACGCCGCGUGAGUGAUGAAGGUCUUCGGAUCGUAAAACGCUGUUAUUAGGGAAGAACAGAUGUGUAAGUAACUGUGCACAUCUUGACGGUACCGAAUCAGAAAGCCACGGCUAACUACGUG
RNAcentral lists this ribosomal RNA (497 nucleotides) under uncultured bacterium. Its description in RNAcentral is "partial 16S ribosomal RNA". It matches the Rfam family "Bacterial small subunit ribosomal RNA", at positions 28 to 507 of the family's 1533-position model. The record is from RNAcentral.